AGGGAAUAUUGCACAAUGGGCGAAAGCCUGAUGCAGCAACGCCGCGUGUGCGAUGAAGGCCUUCGGGUCGUAAAGCACUUUUCUGGGAGAUGAGAAAGGACAGUAUCUCAGGAAUAAGUCUCGGCUAACUACGUGCCAGCAGCCGCGGUAAAACGUAGGAGGCAAGCGUUAUCCGGAUUCACUGGGUGUAAAGCGCGUGCAGGCGGUUCGGUAAGUUGGGCGUGAAAUCUCCUGGCUCAACUAGGAGAGGUCGUUCAAUACUACCGGACUUGAGAGUGGUAGAGGAAGAUGGAAUUCCCGGUGUAGUGGUGAAAUGCGUAGAUAUCGGGAGGAACACCAGUGGCGAAGGCGAUCUUCUGGACCAUUUCUGACGCUCAGACGCGACAGCUAAGGUAG
RNAcentral lists this ribosomal RNA (396 nucleotides) under uncultured bacterium. RNAcentral's name for it is "bacterial SSU rRNA". It matches the Rfam family "Bacterial small subunit ribosomal RNA", at positions 356 to 768 of the family's 1533-position model. The record is from RNAcentral.